UACGGAGGGGGCUAGCGUUGCUCGGAAUUACUGGGCGUAAAGCGCACGUAGGCGGAUCUUUAAGUCAGGGGUGAAAUCCUGGAGCUCAACUCCAGAACUGCCUUUGAUACUGAGGACCUUGAGUUCGGGAGAGGUGAGUGGAACUGCGAGUGUAGAGGUGAAAUUCGUAGAUAUUCGCAAGAACACCAGUGGCGAAGGCGGACUCACUGGCCCGAUACUGACGCUGAGGUGC
This 232-nucleotide ribosomal RNA is filed under the name uncultured bacterium. RNAcentral describes it as "partial 16S ribosomal RNA". It matches the Rfam family "Bacterial small subunit ribosomal RNA", at positions 524 to 754 of the family's 1533-position model. The record is from RNAcentral.